RNAcentral lists this ribosomal RNA (253 nucleotides) under uncultured bacterium. Its description in RNAcentral is "partial 16S ribosomal RNA". It matches the Rfam family "Bacterial small subunit ribosomal RNA", at positions 524 to 776 of the family's 1533-position model. The record is from RNAcentral.
UACGAAGGGGGCGAGCGUUGUUCGGAAUUACUGGGCGUAAAGGGCGCGUAGGCGGCGACCCAAGUCAGAUGUGAAAGUCCUGGGCUUAACCUGGGGACUGCAUUUGAUACUGGGUUGCUUGAAUUCGGGAGAGGAUAGCGGAAUUCCCAGUGUAGAGGUGAAAUUCGUAGAUAUUGGGAGGAACACCAGUGGCGAAGGCGGCUACCUGGACCGGUUCUGACGCUGAGGCGCGAAAGCGUGGGUAGCAAACAGG